AUUGAACGCUGGCGGCAGGCCUAACACAUGCAAGUCGAGCGGAUGAGUGGAGCUUGCUCCAUGAUUCAGCGGCGGACGGGUGAGUAAUGCCUAGGAAUCUGCCUGGUAGUGGGGGACAACGUUUCGAAAGGAACGCUAAUACCGCAUACGUCCUACGGGAGAAAGUGGGGGAUCUUCGGACCUCACGCUAUCAGAUGAGCCUAGGUCGGAUUAGCUAGUUGGUGGGGUAAAGGCUCACCAAGGAGACGAUCCGUAACUGGUCUGAGAGGAUGAUCAGUCACACUGGAACUGAGACACGGUCCAGACUCCUACGGGAGGCAGCAGUGGGGAAUAUUGGACAAUGGGCGAAAGCCUGAUCCAGCCAUGCCGCGUGUGUGAAGAAGGUCUUCGGAUUGUAAAGCACUUUAAGUUGGGAGGAAGGGCAGUAAGUUAAUACCUUGCUGUUUUGACGUUACCAACAGAAUAAGCACCGGCUAACUUCGUGCCAGCAGCCGCAGUAA
RNAcentral lists this ribosomal RNA (500 nucleotides) under uncultured bacterium. Its description in RNAcentral is "partial 16S ribosomal RNA". It matches the Rfam family "Bacterial small subunit ribosomal RNA", at positions 30 to 523 of the family's 1533-position model. The record is from RNAcentral.